UAUGAAGUAUUAUUGAUCUUGGAUAAACUGUUAUACGAAUCCCUAAUAAUUGUCCUUCUGUCUCACUGGAUUCGUUUUUUUUAAAAUAUUUUUCAUCAUCCUCAGUCCUAAAUGAUGAUAUUACUAAAUAUCUUUGGCCUGUAGUGCAAAGAUAAAUGAUUAACUGAUGAAUAUCUUUGGCCCGUAGUGCAAAGAUGAACAGGUGUUGAGAUGAACAUGAC
This 221-nucleotide long non-coding RNA is filed under the name Panax ginseng (ginseng). RNAcentral's name for it is "long non-coding RNA (PGIN_LNC012543)". The record is from RNAcentral. Lineage: Eukaryota; Viridiplantae; Streptophyta; Magnoliopsida; Apiales; Araliaceae.